AUGGCGCGGUCUGGGUUUGAUUUUGACAAAUUUGACCUGUUCUGGACCCAGCAGAGACCCGGGCAGGGGCUGGAAUUCACCGCCAACAUCGACUACCGCAGUGCGGGUUACACCUUCUACGCGCCGUCGGAGUGCGGGGGGGACCUCCAGCCCCCCGGGGGGUCUCUGACGUUUUUGUGCCACGCCUCUGGGUUCACUUUCAGGAGCUAUGGAAUGUUCUGGAUGCGCCAGAGACCCGGACAGACACUGGAAUACAUCGCCAGUAUCAGCAGCAGCGGUGGCAGCACCAACUACGCGCCGUCGUUCAAGGGCCGGGUCACGAUCUCCAGGGACAACGGGCAGAGCUCGGUGACGCUGACCAUGAACCACCUCAAGGACGAGGAUUCCGCCACCUAUUUCUGUGCCAAACGUGCUACUGGUGGUUAUGGUGAUGCUGCUGCUUAUAGUGACGAUGGCCGUGGUGGAUCCAUCCCAAUCUCCGUGUCCUCACCUGUCUGCAAACUGAGACUCUUCCUUCAAAUUAGACCCGGACAGGGGCUGGAAUUCAACGCCAGCAUCAACAGCGAUGGUUCCAGCACCAGGUACACAGAUUUGGUCCAGGGCCGGUUCAUGAUCUUCAGGGACAACGGCAGAGCUCGGUGA
Non-coding RNA from Melozone crissalis (California towhee), 642 nucleotides. The record is from the annotation of a RefSeq genome assembly. NCBI's taxonomy places the organism in Eukaryota, Metazoa, Chordata, Aves, Passeriformes, Passerellidae.